RNAcentral lists this ribosomal RNA (772 nucleotides) under uncultured Neocallimastigales. Its description in RNAcentral is "partial large subunit ribosomal RNA". It matches the Rfam family "Eukaryotic large subunit ribosomal RNA", at positions 26 to 621 of the family's 3401-position model. Lineage: Eukaryota; Fungi; Neocallimastigomycota; Neocallimastigomycetes; Neocallimastigales. The record is from RNAcentral.
CGCAUCUGUGCAUGCAGCAUAUCAAUAAGCGGAGGAAAAGAAACUAACAAGGAUUCCCUUAGUAACGGCGAGUGAAGCGGGAAGAGCUCAAAUUUGAAAUCUUCAAGGUUUUACCUUGACGAAUUGUAGUUUAAAGAAGUGUUUUCUGUUGAAGUUUUGGUAAAAGUUCUUUGGAAUAGGACACCAUAGAGGGUGAGAAUCCCGUAUUUGACCAUUAUUUUCAGCUGUGUGAUACACUUUCAAAGAGUCGGAUUGUUUGGGAAUGCAGUCCAAAUGGGUGGUAAAUUUCAUCUAAAGCUAAAUAUUGGCGAGAGACCGAUAGCGAACAAGUACCGUGAGGGAAAGAUGAAAAGAACUUUGAAAAGAGAGUUAAACAGUACGUGAAAUUGUCAAAAGGGAAGCGUUUGACACCAGUGUUGUUUUCUCGAAAAUCAAUUAAAAAGAGUUUGAUUUUGUUGUGUAUUGACCUUAACAGCUUGCAUUUCAAUUUUCUUGCUUUUUUUAAUGCACUUUCGUUUAACAAGUCAACAUCAGUUUCUUUUGUUGUAAAAAGGUCAUUGGAAGGUGGCUUUCUUUUCGGAGAAAGUGUUUAUAGCCUUUGACUCCUGCAAUCGGAGAGACUGAGGUCUGCAGCGUAGAUCCUUCGGGGUUAGAUACAUUUGUGCUAAGUUAUAGCUUUUUAUAGACAACUUGUUGACUAUGAUUAGUCUUGUAGCUUACUCGCUUAUGCUAUUUUACCUACGCUUAGGAUGUUGACACACGCGCGUGCUCG